This 8932-nucleotide long non-coding RNA is filed under the name Heterocephalus glaber (naked mole-rat). RNAcentral's name for it is "lncRNA (ENSHGLG00000040354.1)". Lineage: Eukaryota; Metazoa; Chordata; Mammalia; Rodentia; Bathyergidae. The record is from RNAcentral.
CUUGAAGUCCACGCUGCCAGGCCCCCCUGGGGCAGUUAACACAAUGAAUGAUUUACUCAUUGCCAGUUCAUCUAUAUCAAAUUACAGGUUUUCUUGAGUCUCAACAUUGACUCAUUUUUUUCCUGCAGUUAAUGUGCUUGUGGAGUUGUUCUUUUGAAGGGAUGCCGGUUCUCCUUCUCAAUGCAGGAAUGAUCAUUUAUAGGUAAGGAGUAAAAAUGUGAAGACUUCUGCAAAUAUGAGGCUGGGUCAAACUGGUACCCCACCACCACCAUUCUCCCUACCUACCCAUCCAGAUCUAGGAACUUUAGAGGUUCUCUUUUCCUGCUGGAAUAUUGGAAACACAUCUACAAAGUACUACAUGAGUAGAAUGUUGGAAUUCUUAAAGAAAAGCGCUCACCACCUGAAAGGGAUAUAAGGUGACCAAGGGUCAAACUUCAGUGACCUUCAGAGGCCACCCUGCCAAUGAAGGAACCCGCUGUGUUACUGCAACCUAAUGCCAGUAUGGACUCAUGCAGCAAAAUGACAAAAAUCACUGAAGGGGAAACGGGCAUCUCAGCAAGUGAAAGAUAUAUUGGCUGGUCCUCUAUUAUCACCCCUCAUUUGUUUUUUGCUUAGUAGAAGAUUUCCUGAUUUGAAGAGACAGGUUUAUUUUGGAGACUGUGAAACACAAAUGCACAAAACAAAAGGCAUAUCUGGCAGCCUAAGAAGCAGUUUGCAGUUAAAAACACAAUGAUAUAGACCAAAUUUAUCUCUCAUUCCCUGAACCAGCAGCAGAAGCAGCCAGUGCACAUGUCUGGCAAGAUCUAAGGGAAGAAAAUCUGAACCAGAAAGAAUGUGGCUGGCUUGAGGUCUGACGCAAAAGAAAAAACUUAUAAAUUUCCUCAUAGAACUCAUAUUAAAAUGGGAGUUUGGAUUCAAGCAACUAAACACUGAAAUUAAAAUUCUUAUAUGGGGUAUUUGUAGUUUCCAAUUAUAUCUUUAUGAUAUUUUCUCUGUGGAAGUUGAUUGCUGUUCAUUAUAAUAAAUUACUUGAAUUGUCUGUAUCUUUACUUAACCAUUUCUUUUCAUGUCUUUGCUUUCUUUUGUUCUUUUUAAAAGUAGAAAAUGCUCAGUUGCUAAAUAAUGAAGACUUAAUUUUUUGUUUCUCCCAAAUUUUACCUUACUCAUGAUCAUUAAUAAUUUUCAGAAGGGUUCUGAACCCUUCUCUUUUCUUGUGAACUCUAGAAAAAUGCUAGCUCAGUAUGCAUAGUACUCCAUCCUUAACCAGCUAUGUUAUUGCUUUGAACCCUGUUCUCCAACUUACUCAAGAAACUGCAGUUAAAUAUUAUUGGGAUCCUUUUUUUUUCUAUAACAAACACGUUUCUAUGUAUUUUAUGGAUAAUUAAAUAAAACUUGAACUCUGGGCUUAAGGUUUUUCUCACUGACUUGUCAUAGGAAAUACAAAAGUAACAGAAAUGAAUUUGUGGCUUAAAAGCAUCUUUUAGAGGGCCAGGGAUUUAGCUCAGUGGUGCUGUCCACUGCCUCACAAGCGAAAGGUCCCGAGUUUGAUCCGGUACCAAAAAAAAGGCUUCUGUGACCUACAUUUUUUGAGACAAUGAAAGUAAGGAGUCAAGAUCUUACAUGAUAAAGUGAAAGACAUCACUACCAGGAAAGCCAGUUAUGUGAAACAACCGUGUGAACCAUGUAAAAGCUGGAGAGGGGUGUCUUGAGAACCAGGGCUCAGUUUUGUCACAAGGGUUAGGUCAAUAGAAUACCAGUGCCACAUGCCUGGCAGAGUUCUUGCCACAUAGAUGUUAGUUGCUCCCUGGAUUAACCCCAGCUCUUGCUUUAUGGAUUCCUUGCUGACAUACCAUCAUAUUUAUCAGUGCUCUUACCUGUUUCUUUCCUUUGUCAAGGUUGUCAUCCACCUGGCCCUGCCUACGCAGCUGCAGCUAAAGGGCAGGUUCUCAGAUCAUAUGCCUCUCCCCUACUUUAUUUCCUUUUUUAAAAAAUCACCAUUUGGGACUUAGAGUUGGCUACUCAGAUUAAAAAAGUGUCUAAUUUAAUUUGGAUCAUUGAACCUUCAUUUCACUUUGGCUCGUUCAACUUAUUGAAUCAGACCAAAUUCUCAUAGUCCCUCAGGAAAUACCAUCUUUUACCCACAAGUUGGCAAAGGACUCCCAUUUUCAAAGAGAUAUUCAACCCAAUAACCAGAGGAGGUCCUGUGGCAGUCAAGAUUGGUCAAGGAAACAUAGGUCACUAUAAUCAUGACUCAGCCCUGGUUAUUAUCAUUGGGACAUAAUUUCACCUCUCUGCUAUUUCUAGCCAAUCUAUUUCUUAUCUCUCUUCUGCUUUUUCCUUUAUAUUUCAGCAAAAAUUCUAAGGUCUGUGAUCCAUUUUCAUGUUCGCCAAGAUCACAUUGGCACAGAAAUUUUUCUGCAGCCUUCCCUUGAGGACAACAUCACACUGAAACUUUCUGACCUUAAGCUAAAGGCUGUGCAAGCCUCUUAGCUACUUGUCUUCUGAUCAGCUUCUACUCCCACCUCCUCUUUUACUCAUUCAUUUCUUUCUUCCUUUCCUUAACACAGGUACUCCAUAGUUCUUUCCCCAUCUCUCUCCAGCUUUCUUUCAUCUGACCCUGAAAGACAAAAUGCUGAUAAGCUCCCUUCCCUGCUUCAUUAAAAAAUUGCCAUUAAAAUUUAUAGCUGGUUUAGGCUGGCCAUCACUGAUCUUCUUGAUUUAGUUACCGCCAAGAAAUGCUUUAUGAUUAUCCACUGACUUAUUUAUAACAAACAUAACAAAGUCCUUGGUGUUAGCAGCCUGUAGAGAAAUUAUUUGUUUUGAAAAUAGAGUGGAUACUUAAAGUUCUCUGUGAAGAAUGGGAGUGUUUGGGUUUGUUGUACUUGCAUAUUUUAUAUAGAAAGGUAAAGUCUCCAAGCCUCAAUAUGUAAUAACAUCAAAUCAUUUUGUUGCUGUGUAGAAAAUGUGUGUUCUAAGGUUGCACAGAAAAUUUCCUAAUACUUCUUAAGCACUGGUUUCAGUAGGCCACUGGUGAGGCUGGUAAGUGAAAACAAAGUGUACUGGUGAGGAUUAAAUGAUUCAUUGGCGGAAACUGUUUGAACAUCUAAAUGUGAUGAAGUUAGUUGAUUGUAGAAGAGUAAUUUAGAAGCUAAUGUAAUAACCACCUGUCUUGAGUCUGCUAUUUGAAGGAUGGUCAGAGAAGGAAUGAAUGCAGUGUUUGAAAUGUCUCAAUAGUGUUGAGUGUUCUGAUAUGUGUGAAAGUGAUCUGUUCUCCUUGGCACUCUGUCAAUCACUACAUGAGUUUAAGGUGUUCUGCAGUAUCCAAAGUCUUUUAACAGAUGCCUUUUGUCCUGAGAAAAACAGUGCAAUCACAUAGAACAGGCCAAUAAGAACAGUUGUAAUGCUUGUUUCCAAGGAGAAAUUGUGGCUGUAUCUUCUGGAAGUAAACACCAACAUUAUGGUGCCAGUGAUUGCUUUAGCACUUCACUGUCACAGAAGAAAUCUGAUGUCCACAGAAUGGUCAUAAUAUUCUGCCUUCUGUGCUUAGGAUCUGGCAGUAAAGACCAAGUGUCCAUACCUGUACUACUAUUGAUUACUGUAUAUUCCUUUGCUGAAGGCAGUGCUAUCUUAUGGGGUGUUGCAGAUAUAGAAGAGCUUGGUGGUGAAGGUGGAAGAAUAAAGACUGGUUUCUGCUGGUUCAAGUGGACUUUACCUAAUAAAUAUGGGAGCCAAGAGUAGAAGAACCAAUCACAUCAGGGAAAGCCUUCAAUAGCAGUUUUAAUGAGGUGCCUGGAUAAUUCAGGAAGUGUGGCUAGAUAAACCAAGUUCAAGUGAGGGUCCCACGUGACCCAAUCAAUUUCCACAUGAUAAUCCACAGAAAGCACUGUGUCAAAAUCACAACAAUGACAACUGAAACCUAAUCUUUAUCUCUUAAAAAUCAGCAAGGUAGAUUCGGUUUAUAAUCCACCAUAAAACACCUCUCAAACUCCUUUUGGUUCCUUUCCAACUUCUCCGACUCCAAAGCUGCUCCAGAAACAUUCACAUCCCAAAUAUCAAAAUGCUUUUUCACAUACCAUGUGGCACAUGUGAGCUUUCAUCACUUAUGCACACCUUCAGCUCUUAGUUUGCAGGCUCUACUCAGCCUCUCUUGUUUUGCUUUGCUUUCUCUUGUCCUUUGUUGUUUAAUGUGGUUCUAGCAUUUAAAAAAAGAUUAGGAACUAGUUUGGUAAAAUUCUCUUAGAAGCUAAGACAAGGGCAAGUGAAGAGUCUGAGGUAAAUACAAAGUUCUCUCAUUAGCUGGGGUGGAAACAGCAAUCUCAAACCAUUGCUGUGUUAAAAUAUCUGGUCCUAUCCCAACCUACAGUAAGAGCUAACAUUUAUUAGGAGUCAACAAAGUUCACGCAUUUUGUUGAGUAUUUUUAUAUAAUUAUGACAUGAUAAUUCUAAUUUAUCUUACAAAUUUGUAACAUCACUGUAAAAAUAAGGAGACAGUAGUUCAGAACGACUGAAUAACUUGCCAAGGCCACAUCGCAGGUUAAUAACAGAAUUAGGAUUUCCGAACCUCAGAAACCCUGCAAACACAGUGUACCUCAGUUCAUGAACACUAGUUUGCAAACAAUUUGGUUUACAAACAGAAACUUUUGGAAAAAUUUUGUUUUUGUUUGCAAACUCUACAUUGGGUGGCAAACAUGCCCGCAGUCGUAUUUCCCACACAAACACCAUCAUGGCCAUCAUUUCCAAAAUCAUAGAAAAAAAAUUAAGUUCGUGAAUCAAGAUACCACUGUAUCAUAUUCUUAAUCAUUAUAAACUCUAUGAAUUAGCAUCUCUCAAUGGCUGAGAUUGUACUGAGAUUAAAGCAAUUACUGAAACAUUGAUGCUGUUUGAAUAUAAGAAAUAUAAUUUAAGAAAUAUAAUUUAAUUCCAUCCUUUUUUUGAGGUAAGUGUAUUAUUUUGGACCCAACUCUGUAUUAACAAGAUCUGUAUUAGCAAAGGUUAGACACUUGUCUACAAAUUAGUACUGAAAUGUCCCAAUAUAAAUGCUUGUGAUUUGGAAGAGAAAUUCAAAAUUUAAAACUUCUCUUAAAAUUUUUUUUAACUGUUUCCUAUCCUCUGCCCAAAUGAUCAGCAGGAAUUCUAUAGCCCAGGGUUAAAAUUCUGAAUUUGUUACCCCUGAGUGGUUCACACCUCUCCACUCUGCCUCUUCUUGGAAACUGGAGGAAGGUUUUAGGAAGGAGGGGGAUUAAAGAGCUCAUGAGCACGUGGCAGUGAUGGAGCAUGGACCAAACCAGUCCACCAGUUUCUCUGGACAAUAUGCCACAUCCAACAGGAAUUAUUCAUUACAUUUCUACUUUUUAAAAUAAAUUUUCCCUUUGGUAUAAAUGUUUUCUUGCUGUUUUUGUACCCUGAUCAAAAGUGAAGUGCUAUUUCUCUAAUGACAUUCAUCAUUACUCCUGGGAAGUUAAGCCUUAAGUUGACACUUUCCACUUUUCUCUUUUUGGCAGAUGCCUUCAACCAGUACAUGCUUGAGUCAGGAACUUUCCUCUUUUAGCUGUGCUAUGUCACUACAUUGGUAGUGAGUCUCAAGCCAACUCCUUUGGCUGCUGUUUGGUGAUCUUUCUAUUGAGAUUAGAGUUUGAGUUGUUUUUAUAAAGGACAUGAAACAGAGAGGGGAAGGUGAGGCUGAACAUAGAGCUCUGACCUUAUAUUUGGAGGCCUUGGCCUUCUAGGUUCUAACAAACAUCACAGCUUACAAAAAAUCAUUCUAAGGCUCCCAAACAAUUUCUUGACUCUGUUAUAGAUGGAGUUUAUGGAAUUAUUGUAAGAGAUCUGCACAUCCCUAUGUAAAGGGAAUAAAUAAUAUAUCUUACACAUAUAUGUGCCAUUCAUUUCACACAUGAAAAUAGGUAAUGUUGUAAUCAAUACGAUACCAAUUGUUUUCCUUACACUAAUACAAUUAAAUUUAUUUGAUAGUAUGUAUUUACUUAGAGAUUCUACUACUGUCACAAGAAAUUUAUAAACUCUCACAUAAGAAAGGAAUCCCCCCCCCAACCCGGUACCAGGGAUUGAACUCAGGACCUUGCACUUGCAAGGUAGGCUCAGUACCACUGAGCUACAUCCCUGGCCCCAGGAAUUCUCCUUUUUAAAGAGUUUGGAAUCACUAAUCUAAAUAAUGGCGGCCCCCGCUGGGACUAGCAAAAUAGAAAGAAAUAUAAAAGAAGUCAAAAAUACAAAGGCACUGCUAAAAAAAAGCAAGAAGUCUCUGCCCAAAGCUAUCAAUUUCUGUAGGGAAAUUAGCUGACACAUCCUUGCUUUACCUUGGAGCUCCCAAAGGCUGCAGCUAGAUUUAGCAUGGGUGUUAGAGCACCGUGUGUCAGCAAACUCACAGGAAGAACCCAUCAUUUCUACUGAUAUUCUGUCUAAGCUUCAGAAUAGCAUAGCAUUCAGGUGCCUGCUUGUAUCUUAAUGUUUCUGACAUUUUCCUGAGGAGAAAUAAUAGAUUAUGAGUCAAUGUGCAAAGGGAUAAAUGAAGAGCUCUCUCCAAUUGUGAAAAUCCUGCUUCAAGUUGUUGAUCAAAAGGUUCAUCCAGAGAGCACAGCAGGUAAGUGAUUUUGCUGGUUUUUACCUGCCCCAAGUCCAUCUCCCCUUCUUCUGGUAACAGAAUCUUAAUUUUCCUUCAGAAAAUUGUCCGUCUCCACUGCUGAGCACAUAGUCCAGAAAUAGUCCCAAGAUUGCCCCUGGAAUUAAUCAGGAGGCAAAUUUCUUCAGAUGAGAUUUUGAAACUAGUUAGAAGUUAGUGCUACUUCAGGCCACUUUUGCUAUCAUUGAGGAGAGCUUGUGUAAGAAUAAAGCAACACAGAAUAGCUGGUCAGCAAAUGGGCAGAGGGAGAGGGAGAGGAAGAAGGAGAAGGAGAGAGAAUAUCUCCAAAAACAUUAGACUAUCUGAUCUGAAUAUUGGUGAUUUAGAUUUUUAGACAAGUCUCCUCUGUUGCUUACAUGUUUGACUUAGGGUAUUGUCACUGGCAUGUAAUGAAACCCAAGUAAUACAGAGUUGCCUUUUUUUAACCUUUGGUGAAAUUUGCCAUCUUCUUUGUGCAUUCCAGUUGCAAGGAAACUCCACUCUGCCAUGUCAGUACUCUUCGUUAGUCCACUAUGCUCCCUCUCUGUGGGGAGCAGGACUUUUUUAUGCAGGUCCAAGGAAAGGUGGGGGGAAUAAGAGACUUUGUAGUCUUCCUGGGGAACUUGGCUCUCUGAUGGCGCUGAAAAGACAUCUCAGGCCAGAAUGUUCCAAAAUGCAAACUGCAGCUUUCUUUCCAAAUGGCAACAGUGAAUGAUGGAUUGCAGUACACAAAAGGUUGCCAAUUUUUGAUAGAGCAGCCCAGUUGCUCAGCUGGGGACCCUGCUAAGAAGGAGGACUAUAAUAGUGUUGUUUUAUGGAGAUGGGAUAUUUUGAUGCUGACCCUUUGAUUUUGCUGCUAUUACUUUUUUACUAGUUCUUUUGUCAUUCUUGAUUCCCCUGCUGUGUUCCUUUCCAUUAUCUCUUUUCUUUGUCUGAAAUUGAACCCACAGAAUGAGCCUGUAAUCAGAGGACAUGAGAAUCCCUAAAUUGCUUUCAUUUUGAUUUUCUACUUUAUUAAUAUUCAGAAUAUGGAACAUAAAGGAGGCAUUUUGAAUCACUGUCUCUUCAACUUGGUCAUGCUACUAUGUAAUCCAUUGCAUGGAAAAUUUGAAUAUGCAUCAUAGCAUUUGAACCUGACAUUUCUAGAUCUAUUUGUAGUACAUUAUGUAGGAAAUUACUUCAGUCUUACUAGUACUGGGGAAAACUUCAUCAUGCAUUAUUCCACCAUCCUGAAAAAAGAAGCAAGUGGGAAGAUUUGUAUAUAAGGACAAUACAAGAACAGCAAUAUUCCAACCUAUUUAUAAAGAUUAAACUAACUCCCUCAGCAUAAUUAGACUUGACAGAUCCUCAAUUUUUGUGUUUUCUUGUGCUGUUAACAAAUAACCAAAUAAGGUCAUUGUUCUUCAGUGAUCUUUGCAUAGGAGUAAGAAAAAUUCAGAAAUUAAGUAUUUUAUAACAAAAUUAAAUUUUCCCUGGCUUAUGUAGGAGCUUCCGGAAAAGUUUUAAAAUAACAUUUCGAGUGUACUGAGCACUUUCUGUGAGCCAAACAUUUUGCAUAUGUUACCUUAUUUGAUCUGAGUACCUGGGACUAGAACAAUUAGUCUCCUUAUUUUAUAAGUGAAGAAACUGAGGGCUAGAGGGGCCAAGCAACCUGUUCAGAGCCAAGUGAAAGUUUCUAUGUCAAUCCCGAGGCCAAGCUUUCAGCAAUUACAGAAAGGAUAGGAAGAAGGGAGGUUGAAUUCUUGUUCUGUUAGCUCAUGGAUUCUUAAGGACUCCUAAAGUGAGGGGUUGGUGUGGGAGAGAACAAGGCAAAGCCAUUUCCUGUGUUGUUGGUUUCAGGCCUUUCAGGGGCAACAGAUCAGGAGAAGAUAAAUAAAGAUGGAUGGGGCAGGGGUGGUGGUGGUGGUAGUGGUGGCUGCUAGAAAUAUCUGUAGCAAUUUGCAAAGUUAAUUGUGGCAUCUUUUCUUACCGAUAGCUUGACAAUAGCUAGUGCCUAAGCCAUUUUGGCUUCCUAUCCAACUCCCUCAUGUCCCACACUCCUUUAUGGAGCUUAUUCUUUCUCCCAUUUCCAGACCUUUUUACAUUUUCUCCUACCCAGCAUACUUUUCUAUCCUUUUGCUUAGCCUUCAAGUCUAAUUUUGAAUGGUUUUUCAUCAUGAAGCUUUUGUUUGGUUGUUUGUUUUUGAGGGAGGGCCUCCUCACUAUGUAGUUCAGGCUGACCUUGAGUUCACUACAUAAUCCAGGCUGCCAUCCAACUCACAGUGAUCCUCCUGCCUCAGCCUCCCAAGUGCUGGGAUUACAGGUGUGUGCUAUGCC